Molecule: ribosomal RNA, 164 nt
Filed under: Muhlenbergia alopecuroides
Lineage: Eukaryota; Viridiplantae; Streptophyta; Magnoliopsida; Poales; Poaceae
Description: 5.8S ribosomal RNA
Rfam family: 5.8S ribosomal RNA
About the family: 5.8S ribosomal RNA (5.8S rRNA) is a component of the large subunit of the eukaryotic ribosome. It is transcribed by RNA polymerase I as part of the 45S precursor that also contains 18S and 28S rRNA.
Source: RNAcentral
AAUCAACAUGACUCUCGGCAACGGAUAUCUCGGCUCUCGCAUCGAUGAAGAACGUAGCAAAAUGCGAUACCUGGUGUGAAUUGCAGAAUCCCGUGAACCAUCGAGUUUUUGAACGCAAGUUGCGCCCGAGGCCUUCUGGUUGAGGGCACGUCUGCCUGGGCGUC